This 503-nucleotide ribosomal RNA is filed under the name uncultured bacterium. Its description in RNAcentral is "partial 16S ribosomal RNA". It matches the Rfam family "Bacterial small subunit ribosomal RNA", at positions 28 to 523 of the family's 1533-position model. The record is from RNAcentral.
GAUGAACGCUAGCGGCAGGCCUAAUACAUGCAAGUCGGACGGGAUUGGAGAGCUUGCUUUCCAUGAGAGUGGCGCACGGGUGCGUAACACGUAUGUAACCUACCUUGUUCAGGGGGAUAGCCUCUCGAAAGAGAGAUUAAGACCGCAUAACAUUGCGAUGUGGCAUCACAUUGUAAUCAAAUAUUUAUAGGAACAAGAUGGGCAUGCGGAACAUUAGCUAGUUGGUAAGGUAACGGCUUACCAAGGCUACGAUGUUUAGGGGAUCUGAGAGGAUGACCCCCCACACUGGUACUGAGACACGGACCAGACUCCUACGGGAGGCAGCAGUAAGGAAUUUUGGACAAUGGGCGAAAGCCUGAUCCAGCAAUGCCGCGUGCAGGAAGAAGGCCUUCGGGUUGUAAACUGCUUUUGUACGGAGCGAAAAGGUCCUUUCUAAUACAAGGGGCUCAUGACGGUACCGUAAGAAUAAGCACCGGCUAACUACGUGCCAGCAGCCGCCGUAA